This 209-nucleotide long non-coding RNA is filed under the name Mytilus galloprovincialis (Mediterranean mussel). The record is from RNAcentral. Lineage: Eukaryota; Metazoa; Mollusca; Bivalvia; Mytilida; Mytilidae.
GCCUUCAACAAUGAGCAAAGCCCAUACCGCAUAGUCAGCUCUAAAAGACCCCGAUAAGACAAUGUAAAAUAAUUCAAACGAGAAAACUAACGGACUUAUUAAUGUAAAAAAAGAACGAAAAACAAAUAUGUAAUACAUAAACAAACGACAACCACUGAAUUACAGGGUCCUGACUUGGGACAGGCACACACAUAAAUAAUGUGGCGGGG